This 501-nucleotide ribosomal RNA is filed under the name uncultured bacterium. RNAcentral describes it as "partial 16S ribosomal RNA". It matches the Rfam family "Bacterial small subunit ribosomal RNA", at positions 30 to 523 of the family's 1533-position model. The record is from RNAcentral.
AUUGAACGCUGGCGGAAUGCUUUACACAUGCAAGUCGAACGGCAGCACGGGUGCUUGCACCUGGUGGCGAGUGGCGAACGGGUGAGUAAUACAUCGGAACGUACCCAGUUGUGGGGGAUAACUAACCGAAAGGUUAGCUAAUACCGCAUACGACCUGAGGGUGAAAGCGGGGGACCGUAAGGCCUCGCGCAAUUGGGGCGGCCGAUGUCUGAUUAGCUAGUUGGUAGGGUAAGGCCUACCAAGGCGACGAUCAGUAGCUGGUCUGAGAGGAUGAUCAGCCACACUGGAACUGAGACACGGUCCAGACUCCUACGGGAGGCAGCAGUGGGGAAUUUUGGACAAUGGGCGAAAGCCUGAUCCAGCCAUUCCGCGUGAGUGAAGAAGGUCUUCGGGUUGUAAAGCUCUUUCGGCAGGGAAGAAACGGCCUAGGUUAAUACCUUGGGCUAAUGACGGUACCUGAAGAAGAAGCACCGGCUAACUACGUGCCAGCAGCCGCCGUAA